Molecule: microRNA precursor, 129 nt
Filed under: Loxodonta africana (African savanna elephant)
Lineage: Eukaryota; Metazoa; Chordata; Mammalia; Proboscidea; Elephantidae
Description: miRNA (ENSLAFG00000031857.1)
Source: RNAcentral
GUGCGUGCAUGGCGUGUAUGUGUGUGUGCAUGUGCAUGUGUAUAUGUGUGCAUGUGUGUGAGAGUGCAUGUGUGUGUUUGCAAGUGUGUGUGCAUGUGCAUGUGUGCAUGUGUAUAUAUGUGUGCAUGC